This 286-nucleotide unclassified non-coding RNA is filed under the name uncultured Inocybe. RNAcentral describes it as "sequence contains ITS2". Lineage: Eukaryota; Fungi; Basidiomycota; Agaricomycetes; Agaricales; Cortinariaceae. The record is from RNAcentral.
AACGCAUCUUGCGCUCCUUGGUAUUCUGAGGAGCAUGCCUGUUUGAGUGUCAUUUUAAUAUCUCAACCACAUUCAUUUUGUGGCUUGGACUUGGAGGAACAAUGCAGGCUCUGACUUCUUUGUAGUCUGCUCCUCUGAAAAACAUGAGUGGUACCUAUAUUGGAACUCUGGCUAGGUGUGAUACAUAUCUGCAUCUAAUCGAGGUUGCCUGUCGGGUUAUGCUGCUGAUUAUUAUGACUUUGAUAAACUUGACCUCAAAUCAGGUAGGACAACCCGCUGAACUUAA